This 270-nucleotide ribosomal RNA is filed under the name uncultured Rhizobiaceae bacterium. RNAcentral's name for it is "partial 16S ribosomal RNA". It matches the Rfam family "Bacterial small subunit ribosomal RNA", at positions 1115 to 1382 of the family's 1533-position model. The record is from RNAcentral. Lineage: Bacteria; Pseudomonadati; Pseudomonadota; Alphaproteobacteria; Hyphomicrobiales; Rhizobiaceae.
UUGCCAGCAUUUAGUUGGGCACUCUAAGGGGACUGCCGGUGAUAAGCCGAGAGGAAGGUGGGGAGUGACGUCAAGUCCGUCAUGGCCCUUACGGGCUGGGCUACACACGUGCUACAAUGGUGGUGACAGUGGGCAGCGAGCACGCGAGUGUGAGCUAAUCUCCAAAAAGCCAUACUCAGUUCGGAUUGCACUCUGCAACUCGAGUGCAUGAAGUUGGAAUCGCUAGUAAUCGCGGAUCAGCAUGCCGCGGUGAAUACGUUCCCGGGCCUU